GGGAGACGGAGUAAUCCUGCUAACGCCAUCCUCCGGCGACGGUGACAGCGACACCGAAUCAGGCCCUCUCAGUAAAGACACCGGAUGCUGGACCUGCGGCGUCUGGUACUGAUUCGAAUACCUCGGCCUCGCCACAGGCACCUGUGUCCUCACAAAAGCCUGCGGAGGCUGGUCUUGCUGGGGAGUGAACCUGGCUGUCUUAUCGACCGGCGCCGUCCUCGGCAUGGGCGGUGGAGGAAUGCCCGACUGAGAUCCUUCGGGUGUCAAAAAUCUCCGUGCCGACGGGUUCGAAAAUGCCGCUGGAGGUGGAGGCAUGCCCGUAGGGGUGUGC
This 331-nucleotide unclassified non-coding RNA is filed under the name Hevea brasiliensis (rubber tree). The record is from RNAcentral. Lineage: Eukaryota; Viridiplantae; Streptophyta; Magnoliopsida; Malpighiales; Euphorbiaceae.